UCCUGUUUAAACACACAGCUGUCGAUGCACCAGCUAGUUCACACCACCAACACUCACCGACAGAGACCCACACUCAGGAUUAUUUUCCUGCUGUAGCAGACUGCCUGAAAUGAAGAUCCUACAAUCUGUAUCUCACCUCGUCGAUGGCGGACUCCUCAAUAAGACGGGGGGCAUCGGCAGACAGCAGCCCAUGUGUAGCCAUGAUGUAGAUCUUAUAAGCUCCUCUCUCCUUCAGAAUCUCAGCUGCUGCCACAAAGUCCUCCACGUCGUCGAUGAUGUCAUCCUGGGAAAGAACGGCAACCACGGGAUUGGAAAUUAUGUACGCCUGUAGUUCCUUCAUCCAUAAUCUAAGGCUGUCAUAUUCUGUUAUUAAAUACAAUGUGGCAAAAUGUUGCAAA
Molecule: long non-coding RNA, 398 nt
Organism: Oncorhynchus gorbuscha (pink salmon)
Lineage: Eukaryota; Metazoa; Chordata; Actinopteri; Salmoniformes; Salmonidae
Exons: 2
Source: RefSeq, a predicted model, not a curated record